This 3277-nucleotide long non-coding RNA is filed under the name Pomacea canaliculata. RNAcentral describes it as "uncharacterized LOC112564879". Lineage: Eukaryota; Metazoa; Mollusca; Gastropoda; Architaenioglossa; Ampullariidae. The record is from RNAcentral.
UCUUUAAAAGUUUUCAUUUAGUCCCUUGCUACUUAUUAAUAUGACUUCAAAUUCUCUUGAAAAAUUCAUCUUUGAAAAAGAUGAAUUCAUGAUGUGAUCGCUGGAAAUACCAAAUCUGUUUUUCUUUUUUUAGUUGAACAUGAAAUGUUGAAGUUCUGCUGUCUGUAGAAAAUAUGUUUUCUACCUUUGUGUGUAUAUAUAUAUAUAUGUGUAUGCACUUUUUGUGUAAUUAUAUUCUUUUGAUUCAUACUGAAGUUUCUAUAUUUUAAGAAAUGUGUUGUAAUUAAGAGAGUGGGCGCAUGCUGGACGAGUGCAUGGGAGUAAAGUGAACCAUUGCGCGCAGGAUCCACAUUGCAGUCCAUUACAGUCAUAUAAAGUAAGAGGCAAGAAAAUAAACUGGGAUAAAGUGACUGUCAGCAAUCACAGUGCAGAGCAAUGCCGAAGAAUGUGGCAAGAAUUGGAAAAGCAGGUUCGUAAGCAUAGAACACUUCCAGAACUUUUAUCUGAUGCUCAGACUGUUUCACCUAAAGUAAAAAGGAAAAGAGAACGCUUUAAGACAACGGACAGAACUAAAAGCUUUGGCCAUGAAGACGACAGCCUACCAGCUACGUCAUUCGAGACAAGCAAAAUCUUAAAUUCCUUUGACGUCACGCCAUGAUGCAAUAUUGUGAAUUGUGUCACAUCAAUCACGUGAGAGUGUACCUAACGUGUUCGGCCACAUUUAAGUGUGUAAGGAACCAUUCCAGUAAGUUAAAUCGCCAGCCAUUACAACCAAGCUGAGGUUUUACGGAGAGAUAGUGAAGAAAAACAGUAAGUAGAGGUGAAUAUGUGUGGAUGUACGAGUGAAUGAAACCACUCUAAGACAUUUUAAGAUGUAGAUUACACAGUGUCAAUAACAGUAAAUAAUUUCUGAGAAAUAAAUUUGAUUUGAUUUAAAAGUUUGAUAUAUUUGAAAGUGUUUUAUAUGUUGAUAAUUUCUUCUUAAUAUUUAAUGGAUGAUAGGUGAAUAUGUAGUCACAACCAUCGUGUCGGAAAUUUUAUGUUUGAUACUGUUUGCAAAUCACUUUAUCUGAUACCUGAUUACAAGCGCGUUUAAAGCUGUAUUUUAAUUUUAAAACUUUAUUUGCUCACCGUUUUAUGUUUUGUUCAUUUAAUCUGAAUUUCAAGAUGGCAACGACAUCAGGUACUCAAGAGCCUCAGGAGGCCGGAAUAACUCCUGAAAAGGUCCGGCCAACGGUUAAGACAUUUAAUGUUUAUGAAAUUAAUUAGCGAUGAGAUGUAGAUGACACAAAAUAAAAGAACGCUACUCCCUCAGCGUCAACCUCCUCCUACGGUUAACAGACGGGCUGGCGGGAUGACUGAUUGGACCAGCAGGUUAAUCCAAUGAAUUACUUCACGCAGUUCGUGAAGUUAAGGUGAUUAAAGCCGUAUCGGCGAAGAUGUUAUAUUCCGAUUGAAUUAAUUACUACACCACACUCGGAAUACACAUGUUAAUACUCCACUGGAAAAAACGUUGGAUAUCCGUUGAAGGCAGUUAACCCACACACAGUUCACUCCCCACGGAGCUCUGUACUCUCCAACUGCUUGGUCUCGACUGUCUCGAGAAACGUUAGAACCACCCAGUUAACUCAUCCUUUUUCUCCUCCUGACCAAUCAGGCCCCCCUAGCGACCAGGUAACUAGGACGACCUCCUAACAGUCUUUCUUGGAGACCUCUCCAGAGUCGCCCUUCGAUGGACUCCAGACGGCCGAAGAAAACGAGGCCGCCCAAAGGAAACUUGGAGGAGAACAACUGAAAGGGAGAUGAAAUUAAAGGGCUGGACAUGGUGUCACCUAGAGCGGGUUUCAGCCGAUCGACAUCGGUGGCGGACUCUGGUCGAGGCCUUAUGUGCAACCUGAUGCACGAAGAGGACAAGAAGAAGUCUAAGAUAGGCUCCAGUAAUUUUUUUGUUAGGGGAUGUGGGGUUAAUUUUCAAGCAUAACAAGCCAUCGGAAAAUUUCAUUUAAUCUGUACCUCUUUAUUUCCAGUCUGUGAGAGCCCAAGCUAUGACACACUUUAUGACAUUUGCUUUUGGGAGUGACUUCAAAAUAACACGUGUAUCAGGUGAGAAAUUUAAUGCUUAUGAUUUGCAGUGAUCUUCGCUUUGGUACUUUAAAUCAGAAAUAAAUUAUUAUGACAGAAUUCUGAAGCCACAAGUUUUAAUCUUACAGUCAUUAAUGUUCAAGAUUUAUUAGUCAUUGCUCUCUUUAUAUCUGUAUAUAUAUAUAUAUAAAAUUUUUGCUUUGAAUUUCUAGAAUUUUGCUUAUGUUGGUAUGAAAUGAAGUGAUUAAGCCAGUGUUAGGUUAUUAGUUUAUUCCUUGUCGCUCCAUUGAGGAGCAUUAUAGGGUCACAAAGCCAAAGUUGGUGAUGUCAACAUCUUUAGCAAAAUCUGCUAAACGUGGCAAAACCAAAGAAUUUCAUUUAUAUUAUACUCAGAAAUGGUUAUUAUAUAACCACGGACGUAUAUAGUUCUUGAUAUAACGAACGGCCCUCAGCGUGCGACAGAAAGCAUCUCCACACAGUUUUCAGUAAGUUUUUCACAAGGGAGGUAACGCCAACACACUUCCUAAGUAACUGGGUUAAGAAAGCGUGGUUAAGUGUGCACUGAUGGUCCAAGAACAGGAGAUGGAAUCUACCUUUUAUACCGCGAAACUUCAAAAUUGAAGGUGUGGCAGUAGCCAACUUGCGACGAAGCUAGUCGCAUCGCAGGGUGCACGGAGAAAAAGUCCGAGUUAGAAAUCUUCCCUGUCUUAUCGCUGCAACCCACUGUGGUCCUCUCCCCUACCAUUAUGUGCAUCCUCCAUUGAUCCUCUUUACAGUCAUAUAAAGUAAGAGGCAAGAAAAUAAACUGGGAUAAAGUGACUGUCAGCAAUCACAGUGCAGAGCAAUGCUAAGAAUGUGGCAAGAAUUGGAAAAGCAGGUAUGGUGCGUGUUUUAGAGAUUUUUUCUGUUUUUCCAGUGUAAAGGUUACAGAGAUUACUACUAUCUUAUAGAGUGUGGUGAUGCAUAUGUGUUCGCACACUCUGCAUAUGUGUGUGUGAGUUUUGUGAUCAGCCAGCAAGGCCACUGACACCACAAAGACGUGUUAUAAAGGAACAGAGACAAAAAGUGAAAGCAAGAAAUCCUGGAAUAAAAGCGCCAGAGAUUAACAGACUGUUGUCUGAGAAGAAGCAAAGUCUGUCACCCAGGAAACGGGUAAAUUAAAAAAUUUUCUGCUCUAAAUUCUUUAAAAGUUUUC